RNAcentral lists this unclassified non-coding RNA (250 nucleotides) under plant metagenome. Its description in RNAcentral is "partial contains small subunit ribosomal RNA, internal transcribed spacer 1, and 5.8S ribosomal RNA". The record is from RNAcentral.
GUAGGUGAACCUGCGGAAGGAUCAUUAUUGAAUAUAAUAUGCUUGGGUAAGGUUGUAGCUGGUCCUCCCUUGGGCAAAUGUGCACGCCUUUAACCACAAGUGUAAUAUCAUGCUUUCCUCCUGUGCACAUUUUGUAGACCUAGAUUUUAUCUUGGACUACGAUUUUAUUAUACUCCUAAGUAAUAGAAUGUGUAUUUAUUGAGGGCCUUUUAUAUACCAAAGGGCUUAUUCAAUAUAUUAUAAUACAACU